CACGAGAUUGGGUUAAUUGAGGAGGAAUGGCCAUAUCCUCGAGCUCACGUGGAAAUACAAAAUGUGUCCUUCAACAUCUGUUGACCUUCAGAAUUAGGUUCCUCUACCCUACACUUUUCUUCCGGGAAAGCCAGGAUGUGGCACGUGUCUGCGAGUAUUUAAUGCGGUUGCCAACACCAGAAUCUUCCACUGCACUUGUACUAUCUCUCCAACACCGUCGUCGGACGCUUCGCUUGCCUGUAUCCAUUAGAUUUAGAUUUUUACCGAAAUGUUGGACGGUAUAGUCUCGUUUCUGUGUGCAGCUGAGGGAGCGCUUACACCAUUGCUGGUUAGGCUGCAUCAAACGCGGGACUGAAAAUCGUGUAAUGCUUAAUUAUUAAAAUGUUUACAGUUAUAGCCAAUUGUUACCUCGUUUCUAUUGAUGCUGAAUGAAUGAAUUGUAUUGAUUAUAUACCUGCAAAUACAAAUACUUAGAGAAAUGCUGAAGGGGUGCUGAAU
Molecule: long non-coding RNA, 498 nt
Organism: Daphnia magna
Lineage: Eukaryota; Metazoa; Arthropoda; Branchiopoda; Diplostraca; Daphniidae
Exons: 2
Source: RefSeq, a predicted model, not a curated record